UAUGAAGAACGCAGCGAAAUGCGAUACGUAAUGUGAAUUGCAGAAUUCAGUGAAUCAUCGAAUCUUUGAACGCAUAUUGCGCUCUCUGGUAUUCCGGAGAGCAUGCUUGUUUGAGUAUCAGUAAACACCUCAACUCCCCUUUCUUUUUUUGAAAUGGGAGCUGGACUUGAGUGAUCCCAACGCUUUUCUCACCGAAAAGUGGCGGGUUACUUGAAAUGCAGGUGCAGCUGGACUUUUCUCUGAGCUAAAAGCAUAUCUAUUUAGUCUGCCUAAAAAACAGAUUAUUACCUUUGCUGCAGCUAACAUAAAGGAGAUUAGUUCUUGUGCUGACUGAUGCAGGAUUCACAGAGACAGCUUCGGCUGGCCUUUGUAAACUCGAUCUCAAAUCAAGUAAGACUACCCGCUGAACUUAAGCAUAUCAAUAAGCGGAGGA
Molecule: unclassified non-coding RNA, 433 nt
Filed under: soil metagenome
Description: partial contains 5.8S ribosomal RNA, internal transcribed spacer 2, and large subunit ribosomal RNA
Rfam family: 5.8S ribosomal RNA (bases 2-120)
Source: RNAcentral